UACGUAGGGUGCAAGCGUUGUCCGGAAUUAUUGGGCGUAAAGAGCUCGUAGGCGGUUUGUCGCGUCGAAUGUGAAAACCCGGGGCUCAACCCCGGGCCUGCAUUCGAUACGGGCAGACUAGAGUCAGGUAGGGGAGAACGGAAUUCCUGGUGUAGCGGUGAAAUGCGCAGAUAUCAGGAGGAACACCGGUGGCGAAGGCGGUUCUCGGGGCCUGUACUGACGCUGAGGAACGAAAGCGUGGGGAGCAAACAGG
This 253-nucleotide ribosomal RNA is filed under the name uncultured bacterium. RNAcentral's name for it is "partial 16S ribosomal RNA". It matches the Rfam family "Bacterial small subunit ribosomal RNA", at positions 524 to 776 of the family's 1533-position model. The record is from RNAcentral.